This 241-nucleotide long non-coding RNA is filed under the name Lathyrus oleraceus (garden pea). RNAcentral's name for it is "Pisum sativum (pea) long non-coding RNA (PSAT_LNC036722)". The record is from RNAcentral. Lineage: Eukaryota; Viridiplantae; Streptophyta; Magnoliopsida; Fabales; Fabaceae.
UUUUUUUUUUUGUUUUUUGUUUUUUUUUUUUUUUUUUUUUUUUUUUUUUUUUUUUUUUUUUUUUUAGCAGGAUCAACCUCGAUUCCUCUCUUAUAAUGAACCCCCAGCAUUUUACCAGACCGCACUCUGAUAGUGCACUUAUCUGAAUUCAACCUCAGUCUGAAUUGUCUCAACUGGUCUGCUUAGCUUGGCCAGAUCUGCCAGAUGCCCCUCUUCUGUUUGGGACUUUGUUAUCAUGUCA